AGAGUUUGAUCCUGGCUCAGAUUGAACGCUGGCGGCAGGCCUAACACAUGCAAGUCGAGCGGAUGAGAAGAGCUUGCUCUUCGAUUCAGCGGCGGACGGGUGAGUAAUACCUAGGAAUCUGCCUGGUAGUGGGGGACAACGUUUCGAAAGGAACGCUAAUACCGCAUACGUCCUACGGGAGAAAGCAGGGGACCUUCGGGCCUUGCGCUAUCAGAUGAGCCUAGGUCGGAUUAGCUAGUUGGUGAGGUAAUGGCUCACCAAGGCUACGAUCCGUAACUGGUCUGAGAGGAUGAUCAGUCACACUGGAACUGAGACACGGUCCAGACUCCUACGGGAGGCAGCAGUGGGGAAUAUUGGACAAUGGGCGAAAGCCUGAUCCAGCCAUGCCGCGUGUGUGAAGAAGGUCUUCGGAUUGUAAAGCACUUUAAGUUGGGAGGAAGGGCAUUAACCUAAUACGUUAGUGUUUUGACGUUACCGACAGAAUAAGCACCGGCUAACUCUGUGCCAGCAGCCGCGGUAAU
This 521-nucleotide ribosomal RNA is filed under the name uncultured bacterium. Its description in RNAcentral is "bacterial SSU rRNA". It matches the Rfam family "Bacterial small subunit ribosomal RNA", at positions 8 to 524 of the family's 1533-position model. The record is from RNAcentral.